RNAcentral lists this unclassified non-coding RNA (375 nucleotides) under fungal sp. RNAcentral describes it as "partial internal transcribed spacer region". The stretch from base 1 to 46 matches the Rfam family "Eukaryotic small subunit ribosomal RNA", at positions 1786 to 1831 of the family's 1831-position model. The record is from RNAcentral. Lineage: Eukaryota; Fungi.
AAGUCGUAACAAGGUUUCCGUAGGUGAACCUGCGGAAGGAUCAUUAACACGUAUCCAAACCUUCAGUGUACUCGUACGUCCGUUAGAAAAAGCAGCAAUCCCUGGUAAAUCAUCGCCGAACAGUUUUCUCAGGGACGUCUGCAAGGAGCGUGCAUGUUGUGCGAGCAAGUGGCCUGGCAUCCCCAAGCAGUUAGUGUCUGAAAGUGUCAUUAACUGUGUAAGGAUGACGCAGUCACGAUCGUUGGAGGCCCACACGGCCGACGACCGGGUCACUGGGCGCAAGCCCCCCUAUAACAAACGCUGCUAAGCGCGGCCGCGAUAAUACGCAGUCGACCAAAAACCGAACAACUGUUAACAAUGGAUAUCUUGGUUCUC